CAGUCGCUUGCCGACUGGCCAACGCUGGGGCUUGGUUUGCCCCAGAGCGCGUUUUGCUGGACGCUGUUCGGACCCGGCGGCGAGCGG
Molecule: transfer RNA, 87 nt
Filed under: Leminorella grimontii
Lineage: Bacteria; Pseudomonadati; Pseudomonadota; Gammaproteobacteria; Enterobacterales; Budviciaceae
Description: tRNA-Thr(ggt)
Source: RNAcentral